RNAcentral lists this ribosomal RNA (400 nucleotides) under uncultured bacterium. Its description in RNAcentral is "SSU rRNA". It matches the Rfam family "Eukaryotic small subunit ribosomal RNA", at positions 555 to 961 of the family's 1831-position model. The record is from RNAcentral.
GCAAGUCUGGUGCCAGCAGCCGCGGUAAUUCCAGCUCCAAUAGCGUAUAUUAAAGUUGUUGCAGUUAAAAAGCUCGUAGUUGAACCUUGGGUCUGGCUGGCCGGUCCGCCUCACCGCGAGUACUGGUCCGGCUGGACCUUUCCUUCUGGGGAACCUCAUGGCCUUCACUGGCUGUGGGGGGAACCAGGACUUUUACUGUGAAAAAAUUAGAGUGUUCAAAGCAGACCUUUGCUCGAAUACAUUGGCAUGGAAUAAUAGAAUAGGACGUGCGGUUCUAUUUUGUUGGUUUCUAGGACCGCCGUAAUGAUUAAUAGGGAUAGUCGGGGGCGUCAGUAUUCAGCUGUCAGAGGUGAAAUUCUAGGAUUUGCUGAAGACUAACUACUGCGAAAGCAUUUGCCAA